Molecule: long non-coding RNA, 617 nt
Filed under: Olea europaea subsp. europaea
Lineage: Eukaryota; Viridiplantae; Streptophyta; Magnoliopsida; Lamiales; Oleaceae
Source: RNAcentral
UCAAAAUUUAUGCCAUCAAAAGCAAGUGAGACCACAACAGAUACAUGAGAUGAAGAAAAAAGAAAAGGAUUACAUUAAGUUGCAGGUAUGAUGUUUAUUCACGGAUUACAAUCCUUGAAGAUGUAACUAUAAGUGUGCAGAGGAUAGUUCUGUCAUAAAGGGGCUAUCUUUAAAAGCAAUAGCUGUGAAUAGGUAGUAAACAUACCAUUUCUUGCAGGAGAAGCUAAAUCAAGUAAUGAUGGAAAAAAAGAAAGAAUCUAGAUCGGGUAUGGAAAUUAUGAAUCUAUUACAGGUAAUAGUGCACUCUUAAUCCUAGUAUUACCUCCCUUUAGAUUAUGGACCCCUGUUUACAUGAUCUUUAAUAUGCUGAUAGAAAGACGGGUGGCAGCGUGGAACAUGGAAUGGGAAGAAGGCUGACAAUGGCUUCUAUAAAAAGAUCGUAUGUAAUAUGAUUGACUUGUUUAAAUUUCUGUCAGCCCACUUAAGUUUUUCUGUAACUAUGAGCUGCUAGCGGGUGGAUGCUUAUGAAGUGAAAAACCAAGAACUGGUGGCUGAGAAUGCUUAUUUAAGGGCAUUGCUACGUUCAAUGCAGGUAACUAAAAGCUAGAUGAAUGGAA